AUACGAAGGGGGCAAGCGUUGUUCGGAAUAACUGGGCGUAAAGCGCACGUAGGCGGAAUGUUAAGUUAGAGGUGAAAUCCCAGGGCUCAACCCUGGAACGGCCUUUAAUACUGGCAAUCUAGAGACCGAGAGAGGUGAGUGGAAUUCCGAGUGUAGAGGUGAAAUUCGUAGAUAUUCGGAGGAACACCAGUGGCGAAGGCGGCUCACUGGCUCGGUACUGACGCUGAGGUGCGAAAGCGUGGGGAGCAAACAGGAUUAGAGACCCGAGUAGUCC
This 274-nucleotide ribosomal RNA is filed under the name uncultured bacterium. RNAcentral describes it as "partial 16S ribosomal RNA". It matches the Rfam family "Bacterial small subunit ribosomal RNA", at positions 523 to 796 of the family's 1533-position model. The record is from RNAcentral.